This 3360-nucleotide unclassified non-coding RNA is filed under the name Leishmania donovani. RNAcentral's name for it is "gene:LdHU3.04.0960(CDS-product:hypothetical_prote in_conserved)". The record is from RNAcentral. Lineage: Eukaryota; Euglenozoa; Kinetoplastea; Trypanosomatida; Trypanosomatidae.
CGGUGCGUGCGUGUAUUGUGUAAGUUUUCGCACGCGAGCGGAGAGCUGCUACGCAGCAGCGACGCAGUCGAGUGCGUGACUACGCUGGCACACCGGCGCUAACUAGCGUGUUUGCCCCACCAACACCAACACCCUAAGCCUUGGCGCACCCUUCUCCAUAGACACACGCACAGGCCACAUAAGCCGUUGCGCGCAUCUUCUCCGGAGGCCGGUGAGCGCCUCUUGUUGUUGUGUCUUCCGAUCUCCCUCUCUCAUCCAUUCAACAGAUCCGCAAACCUCGCAUACUGCGCGCGCACGCUCAUCACGGUACUGGCAGCAACAGCAACGGUGACCGCGAGCGAGGCCAUGGAGAGUAGUAUCAGUGGCAGCGGCGAGUCCAGUGGAAGCUCCAAAAGUCGAAGCAGCAGCGUGGACUCUGCGCGUGCCGUAGCCGCCGCGCGCGCGUACGACACCGCUGCUAUCGCCAUCAUUCCUGGUCUCGUCGUGCCACUCACGAGCGCCUCCUCCAAGGGUGGUUGUGCAGCCCUCGCGUCUGCCGUUGCCUCUCUUGAAGCGCUGGCCGACACGGUGGACACAGUGCUGGAUCGGCUGGACAAGGCAGCAACGUCGCAGCAGCGGCGCCUCAACGGCGUUCAAAGACGCAUCUGCAUCUGUGCCGAUUUUAUUGACUGCUUGCGAGGGCGACGCACAUCAACGCUACUGGAGAGCAAACCUCGAUACCCUCAGCUCGUGCCGUUCAAGCCCCGCAGUCGCGGGGGCGGCGUGAGGGCGAAGACGGUCAAGUCGCAGCGGGGCGCGCAGGACGGCGCGAACGCCGCUGCUAUCGUGAUCAGCGGCGUCCCUUCAGCGGUGAGCACGGCUCACAGUCAUCGCUUCCUGCGACCACGCCGCUCGUCCCCGCUGCCACCGGUUGCGCCGAGCUCCUGCAGCGGGUCCUCCACUGACGACUCCGACGACGACGCAGCACAGCAGCCGCAGCAGCCGUCCUACCAGCCGCCGAUGCGUGCUGUUCCAGUGGUGUCCGCGUUCGCCGACUCUGAGCGCACCAUCGCCACCGCACACCGCGGUUUCGCUCGGUGUGGCGGCAGCGACAGUAAUGUCAGCAGUCCUGCUCCGCCCGUGAACGCCGUCGCUGCCAUGCGGCUGGCAGAGUCCAUGCCACUGGAGACAGUGAUCUUAGACGGUGAGGAAAGUAGCGCCGUGGCGGUGGGGCACGGGGGCCGUGACGAGGCAGCUGCUGGGCACUUGAGCGUGCGGGGUACGUUGAUGAACGCGGCCUCGCUGCAGCCAUCUUCCUCCUCCGCGCUUGCCUGGCAACCUCGCUGUCUGCCGGCCGUGCGAGGCGGGCAGGCCAUGCAUAACGCGAGCGAGAUGCCCGGCACUCUCAGCGCCCUUGUGAGCUACCCUGCACACCGGAUGGCUUACCGGCAUCUGGUGGUAGCAAGCAGCAGCAACGAUGGCAACGCGAAGGGCGCCAUCGCGUCGGUGCAGCACGGCACUCCCAUCUACAGAGACCCUUACAGCCCCACAGGGCUUGCGGCGACGGCACGGUCGGCAACGAGGACGUGGCUGCACAGCACCAGCACGGUGGAUAUCCAAUGCGACUUUACUACGCCGUUGCAGGCGCAGCAGUAUGCCUUCGUGCCCGGCGGCGACGCGGCGGCAGCGUCAUCGCGAGCCCUGUUGCGGGACAUGCCGCGGAAUCUGCCGCUUCAGCACUUGGCUUCCGUGCGGCGCUGGGACCAACGUGGCGGGGAUAUGCAGGGUCGCACCGGCGGUAGCACUGGUUCCGAAGACGACGAAGACGUCGAAGAGCACGAUGAAAACGGUGGCCCCCGGCAGCAACGCCGUGCGUCACGUCGGGGUCCGCGCGACUUUGAGACGAUCGCCCCUGGCCAAGAGCAGCGACAGCGACGGGCUCGUCGGCGUCACGCUGUUGGCGACGGCAGCACGGCAUCAGAGGGGAGUGACGAUGAUACUGAGGCCGCGGCCCGCGCGGUAAACCGCAGGCGUGAAAGCGGUCGAGCAAGGCCCAAGCAACAGCAGGCUCGCGAUACCUCCACCCAACCCACUGCCGCCGCACUCUCCGCUCCGCCUGCCGCGCCUCCGUCGCUGGCACCACCACCGCCGCCAGGGGUGACGCGCUCCACUACGGCGCCGCCACCGCCACCGCUCCCACCGACGGCGUUGUUGCAAGGCAAGCCGAACCCGCCAAUGUUUCCGCUCGGCAGCGGUGGGGGCGCUCCUCCGCGCGUGCCACCACCGCAACCGCCGCCGCCGCCGCCGCCGCCGCCGCAAGUGUCAAAAUUGUUGUCAGAGCUGAAGUAUGCCAGCGGAAGUCGUCCGCCUCCGCCUCCGCCACCGGCGCAGGCCGCUAUGGUGCCGUCAGUGUCAUCUGAAGCACCGCCACCGCCGCCGCCGCCGGCCUCGUCCAAGCUGCCUGUUGGUGCGAAGCCAGGCGGCGGCCUUGUAGCUGCACCCGCCGCGCCACGUGUGCCCCCUCCCCCUCCACCACCACCUCAGUCACAGAAGUCCGCAGUCAGUGCCCUGACUUCAAUGCUGGGCGAGCGCCGCAGGGUCCUGCAAGGCGACGACUCGAGCAGCACCAGCAGUGGCAGCGGUACCGGCAACAAGUACGGCGGCGCUAACAGGAGGCAAGCAGACAGCUCGGACUCGUCUUCUUCGUCGGCGCCUCCGCGUGCCAAUCCUACCGCGCGAGGUCGCAUGGUCGGUUCGGCAGCGCCGCAGAUGGCCGGCGGCAGUUCCUCGAGUAGCGACGACAGCGGCUGAAGGUGCUACGGGCGAGUUCAGAUGAGGGAGCCGGGGCAAAACGUGUGUGCUUCAGAAAGAGGCGAGUAGUUCCUCACCGUCCCCCCCUCGUCCUACACAGAGAGAGCACCUUCACCAACCCGCUCCCACCCACGUGGCAUGCCUGUGUCCACAUAAUGUCUGUGGAUCCUUCCAUGUCCGCCUAGGUGAGGGAGUGGGGGAGGAGGGGCGUAUGGGCGGCUCAGAGGCGCGCGGAGGUACCGAUCUAUUCGUCGCCUCUGUUUCGCUUGGCUUUGUGGUGGUGCUGCGGCUGCGGCCUCCCUCCCUCCCUCCGUGUGUGUGUGUGUGUGUGUGUGUGUGUGGAGGAUGGCAACGCGAGAGAGGGGGAGCGCUUGCAAGUCGAAUAAGGGCACGAAAAUUUUCAUGGAAAGGCAGCAGAGCACGCACUGCCGACUGCCCCGCGCGUGCACGCUAGCGAGCUUGCAGCGACUCCCGCUGCCGCCGCGAGCGCCCUCCCUCAACACCGCUGCUCCUCUUAGCCCCCACUCCUUCUUCCUCUCCCCUCUCGGCACUGCUCUGCGCAUGUUCAAG